UACGUAGGGUGCGAGCGUUGUCCGGAUUUAUUGGGCGUAAAGAGCUCGUAGGCGGUUUGUAGCGUCGGCCGUGAAAUCUCCACGCUUAACGUGGAGCGUGCGGUCGAUACGGGCAGACUUGAGUUCGGUAGGGGAGACUGGAAUUCCUGGUGUAGCGGUGAAAUGCGCAGAUAUCAGGAGGAACACCGGUGGCGAAGGCGGGUCUCUGGGCCGUAACUGACGCUGAGGCGCGAAAGCCAGGGGAGCGAACGGG
This 253-nucleotide ribosomal RNA is filed under the name uncultured bacterium. RNAcentral describes it as "partial 16S ribosomal RNA". It matches the Rfam family "Bacterial small subunit ribosomal RNA", at positions 524 to 776 of the family's 1533-position model. The record is from RNAcentral.